CUUAACGCAUGCAAGUCGAACGGAAAGGCCCUCCGGGGUACUCGAGUGGCGAACGGGUGAGUAACACGUGGGUGAUCUGCCCUGCACUUUGGGAUAAGCCUGGGAAACUGGGUCUAAUACCGAAUAUGACCACGCUCUUCAUGGGGUGUGGUGGAAAGCUUUUGCGGUGUGGGAUGGGCCCGCGGCCUAUCAGCUUGUUGGUGGGGUAAUGGCCUACCAAGGCGACGACGGGUAGCCGGCCUGAGAGGGUGACCGGCCACACUGGGACUGAGAUACGGCCCAGACUCCUACGGGAGGCAGCAGUGGGGAAUAUUGCACAAUGGGCGCAAGCCUGAUGCAGCGACGCCGCGUGAGGGAUGACGGCCUUCGGGUUGUAAACCUCUUUCACCAGGGACGAAGCGCAAGUGACGGUACCUGGAGAAGAAGCACCGGCCAACUACGUGCCAGCAGCCGCGGUAAUACGUAGGGUGCGAGCGUUGUCCGGAAUUACUGGGCGUAAAGAGCUCGUAGGUGGUUUGUCGCGUUGUUCGUGAAAACUCACAGCUUAACUGUGGGCGUGCGGGCGAUACGGGCAGACUAGAGUACUGCAGGGGAGACUGGAAUUCCUGGUGUAGCGGUGGAAUGCGCAGGUAUCAGGAGGAACACCGGUGGCGAAGGCGGGUCUCUGGGCAGUAACUGACGCUGAGGAGCGAAAGCGUGGGGAGCGAACAAGAUUAGAUACCCUGGUAGUCCACGCCGUAAACGGUGGGUACUAGGUGUGGGUUCCUUCCUUGGGAUCCGUGCCGUAGCUAACGCAUUAAGUACCCCGCCUGGGGAGUACGGCCGCAAGGCUAAAACUCAAAGGAAUUGACGGGGGCCCGCACAAGCGGCGGAGCAUGUGGAUUAAUUCGAUGCAACGCGAAGAACCUUACCUGGGUUUGACAUGCACAGGACGCUGGUAGAGAUAUCAGUUCCCUUGUGGCCUGUGUGCAGGUGGUGCAUGGCUGUCGUCAGCUCGUGUCGUGAGAUGUUGGGUUGUGUCCCGCCCCGGGCGCCGCCCCUCUCUUCUGUUGCCUGCGCGUUUUGGCGGGGGCUC
RNAcentral lists this ribosomal RNA (1075 nucleotides) under uncultured bacterium. RNAcentral's name for it is "bacterial SSU rRNA". It matches the Rfam family "Bacterial small subunit ribosomal RNA", at positions 47 to 1140 of the family's 1533-position model. The record is from RNAcentral.